This is a long non-coding RNA of Bombyx mori (domestic silkworm), 451 nucleotides long. RefSeq lists it as uncharacterized. NCBI's taxonomy places the organism in Eukaryota, Metazoa, Arthropoda, Insecta, Lepidoptera, Bombycidae. The record is from RefSeq and is a predicted model, not a curated record. The transcript is spliced from 2 exons.
GAAAAGCGAAUAGAGGCCAAUUAAACUAUGCUGAAGAAUGAAUUAUUAAGACUCGUUGGUCUGCACAAACCUACUACUCCAACGGAUGUCUUCGAUUAUAUAGUCUACGAAAAGGGUCAUACCGUCAUAAGACUACCCCCGUACCACUGCCAGUAUAAUCUGAUCGAGCUUAUCUGGCCCAGCAUGGAGCAUUAAAUCAAAGGUUACGCUGACACAACACAAUAUCACCAUUCACGGCAAAUAAAAUGUUGCAGUCAUUAAAAAGUGCGGUCGAAUAUGUAUCUACAGAAGAUUUGAAGAAGUGGAAGAAGGUGGUAACGAAACGCAGAAAAGUAAUGAAAGAAGAUUGGGAGCGGAUCGUCCGAUUUGAUAAUAUUUGCGAUCAAGAGCUUAUAAUAAAUUUACAAGAUUGUUUUAGCGAUGCAGAAACUGAUUCAGAAAUAUAUUUGUG